GGACUUUCAGAGAGAGAAAUACAGAAAGGGAGAGAUUUACUUUCACACAAUUAUAAGGAUUUUUAGAGAUAGAGAAGAAAGAAGAAAAGGUUCAGACAUGGCUUCAGAGUGUCAAGGGAAGAGCUCAUGGCCGGAAUUGGUGGGCGUGAACGGCGAGAUUGCAGCUGCAACUAUCGAGAAGGAGAAUCCGACCGUUAAGGCUGUAGUCCUGCCCGAAGGAAUCAUUCUUGAUGAUCCAGAAUUUCGGUGCGAUAGGGUCGUGGUUUGGGUCGAACCCGGCAUCAUCGUGGGCAAUGUCACACGUGUGCCGGUGAUAGGGUAGAAGCCAUUAAUCACCUUCCUUAAACAUGCAUUAGAUAAAUAAAAUCUUCUAAGUCCCCCUUUCUCUGUGUCUCUAAUGAUGGAAACUCGAUAUGUGUAUAUCUAUUUGAUUGGUGGCGAAUGCAGUGACCUACGUCAAUUACAAAAGUGUAGCCAUGAAUUGGCAUGUUCGACGUGUUAUAAAUAAAAAAGGAUUGUUUUUUUAUUGAA
This is a non-coding RNA of Amborella trichopoda, 531 nucleotides long. Lineage: Eukaryota; Viridiplantae; Streptophyta; Magnoliopsida; Amborellales; Amborellaceae. The record is from RefSeq and is a predicted model, not a curated record.